RNAcentral lists this ribosomal RNA (120 nucleotides) under Microtus ochrogaster (prairie vole). The record is from RNAcentral. Lineage: Eukaryota; Metazoa; Chordata; Mammalia; Rodentia; Cricetidae.
GUGUACAGUCAUGCCACACUGAACAGCCCAUUCUCUUCUGCUCUUGGAAGCUAAGCGGGACUAGGCUUGGUUAGUGCUUGGAUGAAGGAUUCUUUUGAAACACUAAAGCUCAGGAGCAUU